RNAcentral lists this ribosomal RNA (259 nucleotides) under uncultured prokaryote. RNAcentral's name for it is "partial 16S ribosomal RNA". It matches the Rfam family "Bacterial small subunit ribosomal RNA", at positions 524 to 782 of the family's 1533-position model. The record is from RNAcentral.
UACGGAGGAUCCUAGUGUUAUCCGGAUUUAUUGGGUUUAAAGGGUGCGUAGGCGGCUUUUUAAGUCAGCGGUGAAAUUUUGCAGCUUAACUGUAACAGUGCCGUUGAUACUGGGGAGCUAGGAUUUGGUUGCUGUGGGUGGAAUGUGUGGUGUAGCGGUGAAAUGCUUAGAGAUCACACAGAAUAUCGAUUGCGAAGGCAGCUCACAAAGCCAAGAUUGACGCUGAGGCACGAAAGUGUGGGGAUCAAACAGGAUUAGA